GCAUCCCAGGUGACCCCAGAACAUUUUUUUGUGCCCUAGAUGAGCUGCCCUACCUGCGCUGCCCCCUCCACACCAUUUUCAAGCUCACGCCUGUUGCCUAUGGCUGCAAAGUGGAGACAAUUUCCAUGGGUGUGGAGGCAGUGAACACCCACCGGGAAAAGCCCUCCCUGAACUCACACGACCUCCCCAGCAGGCAGAGCCCUGUGAGGAUGAGGAGGAACAGCUUUACCCCGCGGGCCAGCGCCGACACCGUAAAGCGCCCGCGGCACCACAGCCUGGGCAGCAAACCCCUCCACCUGCUGGGGCCUCUCCCAUCCCUGGAUGCUCGAGGGCCUCUCCCAUCCCUGGAAGCUGGAGAAGGGGCUGAGCAGCCACAGCUGGAAGUCACUGUCCAGGUGGU
Molecule: non-coding RNA, 400 nt
Organism: Zonotrichia albicollis (white-throated sparrow)
Lineage: Eukaryota; Metazoa; Chordata; Aves; Passeriformes; Passerellidae
Source: RefSeq, a predicted model, not a curated record